This 1774-nucleotide long non-coding RNA is filed under the name Anas platyrhynchos platyrhynchos (common mallard). RNAcentral describes it as "lncRNA (ENSAPLG00000018003.1)". The record is from RNAcentral. Lineage: Eukaryota; Metazoa; Chordata; Aves; Anseriformes; Anatidae.
AGUUCUUUUGCCUUCUGUUUGAAUCUCUUUGUAAUUUCCUAUUUUUAUUUUUACAGUCAAAAAUGUAGAAACUGUAAAGAAAACAAAUGGUCUCCUGAAAUAAGCAGAGAGAUAGAUGCUGUGCAUGAAGAGUACCAGCAGAAACUGAGAGACCAGGAAGCUUUCCACAGGAAACAAAUUCAACGGCAGCAACUCUAUGUUGAGGAUUUAAAGCAGCAGAUCCUCAGAGGACAGAUCAAAGCAGAGCAGGAACUAGAAAAUGACCAAGCACUCAUCAACCAGCAGAUCCAAGAAAGUAGGUACCCGCCUCCUGCCCUCUCUCACUUCCCUUCCAUUACUGAAUUCUUUCAUCCUCUUCAUGUUUUGUUGUUUGUUUUUUUUUUUGUCUUAGUUAUGCUUUGUGUUAUGGGUGGAAGUUUAUUUUUACAGCUUAUUACUAGUUUUCUCCUAUUAUUGCCUUUCCCUUGAGAACAAUUAUCAAGCUUUGAUUAACAGGACUAACAGGGCUCCUUUGCAGUGCCCCAGCAGCAGUAAUUAUCUUUGCAGGUCACUGCUGGGAGAGACAGCACCAACACGUUGUUCCUGCUGUGGCACUGAGCCUCUCAUCUCCCCAGCUGCUCCCCAUCCUGCUUCCCUGCAGUUUUGCUCUGAUUGUAUCUGUAGUGCAACUCUCCCAUGUGAGACUCAUAGACUGAGUUUUCCAUUGUAUUUCACAGUUUUCUUUUGAUUUAUCUGUGCUUCAUCCAUUGCAUUGUUCCAAGAGACUGAAAUUCAGAUGGCCAUGGUAGUUCUAUAAGUUUUCAAGGGAAACUGCUCUAACAACAGCAUGACAUAGGAACCUAGCAGCACUUCUGAGAGAGCUGAUGCCUUGGAACUGCAACAUGUGUUGGUUAACGUGCUCUGUCUAUGCGUUUGUUGAUGAUCUCACCAGUAGCACAGUGCAGACCUUAUUCAUGUGCUUUUAGGGAAGGCCCAUGGCAUAGAACCAUGCUUCAAACUGUGGUUGCUUUGUGAGUUUUAAGCAGUGCUCAUCUGAGAAGUAGGUGGGACACUAAAGUUCACUUCAUGCUUAGUUCUCAGCAGAAGAUUUUGAAACACAUUAUAAUUCAUUUCAGAUUAAAGCUUUAUGGUGUUUUGUCUGCUUGCAUUUUCCAGAUGGAAGUGUAAUGAAGUGAGAAAGUUCUAGUUUUUGUUGAGAUUUUAACUUCAACAGGAACUCUACAGUGAUCAGUGUUAUAUUGCAUAUACAUCCUAUAGGCCAGAUUCAGCAGAGAAACUGUUGUCUUCCUAAACUGAAAGUAAUUGGAUAAAAUACUGGUGAUACUGGUCUGGCACAAACUUCAGCUCUACGCUAACUAUGCCAUGAAAAGCCUAUUUGGAGAAGUGUUUGCUAGCAUCAGUGGCUUCCAUCCCCGAGAGAUGCUGCUUUGCAUGCAGAUAUAUUCAGCAAGGUUUUUCUUGGUGACUGCCUGUUAAAGAUUUUGUAGACUGAUUUGGCAACAUUUUAAACCUUGAGAAGCUCUUGACCACUGAAUAGGGUUGCUAUUGUGUUCUUCUAGUUACCUUCUAAUGAAUGAUUUGGUCCAAGUUUCUUGAUAAGGAACAACAGAGAGAGAACACCAUUUCCAUUUGGCAAGGCCUGCUAUUGGUUCCUGGAAGAGGAAUGAUUUUUGAAUUUUUUGAGGUUUCUCAGAGCCAAACUUACACAGUCUGCCAUCUUUCAAUUACACCACCCAUAAAUAAAAGAUUAAAGAGAAAAUUGUGGAAGUAGGAA